Molecule: non-coding RNA, 98 nt
Organism: Acanthosepion pharaonis
Lineage: Eukaryota; Metazoa; Mollusca; Cephalopoda; Sepiida; Sepiidae
Source: the annotation of a GenBank genome assembly
UUAAAACACCAGUUCCCAUACAAUCACUGAAGUUAAGCAACAUCAAGACUAAUCAGUACCUAGAUGGGUGACUGCUUGGGAAUACAAGGUGCUGCAAG